This 438-nucleotide ribosomal RNA is filed under the name uncultured bacterium. RNAcentral describes it as "bacterial SSU rRNA". It matches the Rfam family "Bacterial small subunit ribosomal RNA", at positions 355 to 786 of the family's 1533-position model. The record is from RNAcentral.
UAGGGAAUUUUCGUCAAUGGGGGGAACCCUGAACGAGCAAUGCCACGUGUGUGAAGAAGGUCUUCGGAUCGUAAAGCACUGUUGUAAGUGAAGAAUGCCAUAUAGAGGAAAUGCUAUGUGGGUGACGGUAGCUUACCAGAAAGCCACGGCUAACUACGUGCCAGCAGCCGCGGUAAUACGUAGGUGGCAAGCGUUAUCCGGAAUCAUUGGGCGUAAAGGGUGCGUAGGUAGCACGAUAAGUCUGAAGUAAAAGGCAACAGCUCAACUGUUGUAUGCUUUGGAAACUGUCGAGCUAGAGUGCAGAAGAGGGCGAUGGAAUUCCAUGUGUAGCGGUAAAAUGCGUAGAUAUAUGGAGGAACACCAGUGGCGAAGGCGGUCGCCUGGUCUGUAACUGACACUGAUGCACGAAAGCGUGGGGAGCAAAUAGGAUUAGAUACC